RNAcentral lists this ribosomal RNA (460 nucleotides) under uncultured Porphyromonas sp. RNAcentral describes it as "bacterial SSU rRNA". It matches the Rfam family "Bacterial small subunit ribosomal RNA", at positions 338 to 795 of the family's 1533-position model. Lineage: Bacteria; Pseudomonadati; Bacteroidota; Bacteroidia; Bacteroidales; Porphyromonadaceae. The record is from RNAcentral.
CCUACGGGUGGCAGCAGUGAGGAAUAUUGGUCAAUGGGCGAGAGCCUGAACCAGCCAAGUCGCGUGAAGGAAGACAGUCCUAAGGAUUGUAAACUUCUUUUAUACGGGAAUAACGGGCGAUACGAGUAUUGCAUUGAAUGUACCGUAAGAAUAAGCAUCGGCUAACUCCGUGCCAGCAGCCGCGGUAAUACGGAGGAUGCGAGCGUUAUCCGGAUUUAUUGGGUUUAAAGGGUGCGUAGGUUGUUCGGUAAGUCAGCGGUGAAACCUGAGCGCUCAACGUUCAGCCUGCCGUUGAAACUGCCGGGCUUGAGUUCAGUGGCGGCAGGCGGAAUUCGUGGUGUAGCGGUGAAAUGCAUAGAUAUCACGAGGAACUCCGAUUGCGAAGGCAGCUUGCCAUACUGCGACUGACACUGAAGCACGAAGGCGUGGGUAUCAAACAGGAUUAGAUACCCCAGUAGUC